GAUUUCUGGCUCGAAGCGCCUAGCCCGCCUCGGUUACGAGUGUGAGUGCUGGUGCGGUUCUGCCAUCCUUCCAAAGAACGGUCUUCACCCUUCACUGGGCUGGGGGCCGCGAUUUGGAUCUAUUACUUUGAAAAAAUUAGAGUGUUUAAAGCAGGCAUUUUGCCUUGAAUAUAUUAGCAUGGAAUAAUGAUUUAGGACUUUGGUUCUAUUUUGUUGGUUUCUAGGACUGAAGUAAUGAUUGAUAGGGAUAGUUGGGGGUGCUAGUAUUCCGUGGCCAGAGGUGAAAUUCUUGGAUUCACGGAAGACUAACUUAUGCGAAAGCAUU
RNAcentral lists this ribosomal RNA (325 nucleotides) under uncultured Allantion. RNAcentral describes it as "bacterial SSU rRNA". The stretch from base 107 to 325 matches the Rfam family "Eukaryotic small subunit ribosomal RNA", at positions 736 to 955 of the family's 1831-position model. Lineage: Eukaryota; Cercozoa; Glissomonadida. The record is from RNAcentral.